This 497-nucleotide ribosomal RNA is filed under the name uncultured bacterium. Its description in RNAcentral is "partial 16S ribosomal RNA". It matches the Rfam family "Bacterial small subunit ribosomal RNA", at positions 28 to 507 of the family's 1533-position model. The record is from RNAcentral.
GAUGAACGCUGGCGGCGUGCCUAAUGCAUGCAAGUCGAGCGAACAGACGAGGAGCUUGCUCCUCUGACGUUAGCGGCGGACGGGUGAGUAACACGUGGAUAACCUACCUAUAAGACUGGGAUAAAUUCGGGAAACCGGAGCUAAUACCGGAUAAUAUAUUGAACCGCAUGGUUCAAUAGUGAAAGACGGUUUUGCUGUCACUUAUAGAUGGAUCCGCGCCGCAUUAGCUAGUUGGUAAGGUAACGGCUUACCAAGGCAACGAUGCGUAGCCGACCUGAGAGGGUGAUCGGCCACACUGGAACUGAGACACGGUCCAGACUCCUACGGGAGGCAGCAGUAGGGAAUCUUCCGCAAUGGGCGAAAGCCUGACGGAGCAACGCCGCGUGAGUGAUGAAGGUCUUCGGAUCGUAAAACUCUGUUAUUAGGGAAGAACAAAUGUGUAAGUAACUAUGCACGUCUUGACGGUACCUAAUCAGAAAGCCACGGCUAACUACGUG